GGGGGUCUCGCUGUGUUGUCCAGGCUGGUCUUAAACUCCUUGCUUCAACAGAUCCUCCCACUCCAGCCUCCCAAAAUGUGAUUACAGGCUGAGUCACCACGCCCAGCAUGGUUUUUUGUUGUUUUUUUUUUUUUUUUUUUUGUAAGCAAUAUUGACAUACAUACUGGAGAUACAAUUCUGUAGCUGGCCUUCUUUUCAGAGUUUAGAAUAAAUGUCUUUCCAUGUCAAGUUUUCACUUACAUCCUUUGUAAUAGUUGCAAAAUAUUCCAUUUUAUAGCUGUAUCUUAAUUGUGGAUUAAGGUUGGAGUGCAGUGGCACUAUCAUGGCUUAGUCCAGCCUCAGCCUUCUAGGUUCAAGCGAUCUUCCCACCUCAGCCUCCCAAGAAGCUAGGACUACAGGGACCCGCCACCCCACCUAGCUAAUUAAAAAAAAAAUUGUAGAGAUGGAGUCUCAGUGUGUAGCCCAGUCUCAAGUGACCCUCCCUCCUUGGCCUCCCAAAGUGCUGAGAUUGCAGGAAGAGUGUCUUCAUCUCUGCAUCCCUAGUGCAACAGAGCAUGAUAAAAAUUCAAUAAAUAUUUAUUGAAGAGUCUUGUUGUCUUUUGGGAAAGGAACUCUAUGGUUACCUUUACUCUAAGUUAAAAACAACAACAACAACAACAACAAAAACACAAAACCCUGAGGCUCAGAAGAUAAAUAUUUGCUGAAGAUCACUGUGCUUAUUAGAUGGGUGUUACUGAUUCUUACCUCAGAGAAGAGAAUGUCAUGGAGACAAAAUGAUCUGCUUAGAGUUCUGCACCCCCCAGCAUGGAGAGCAGAGCGCAAAGAUUUCUUCCGGACUCUCACAUUCCCCUUGGAAUCCAAGAACUGGUCUACUGUCACAACACUUUAGUACCCUCUUCUCCCAAGGAGGCAGCAGAAACUGGGGUAAUCACAACGGUCAACAGCAGCAAAGGCAGCACUUUCU
Molecule: non-coding RNA, 964 nt
Filed under: Pan troglodytes (chimpanzee)
Lineage: Eukaryota; Metazoa; Chordata; Mammalia; Primates; Hominidae
Source: RNAcentral